GACGAACGCUGGCGGCGUGCUUAACACAUGCAAGUCGAACGGAAAGGCCCUGCUUUUGUGGGGUGCUCGAGUGGCGAACGGGUGAGUAACACGUGAGUAACCUGCCCUUGACUUUGGGAUAACUUCAGGAAACUGGGGCUAAUACCGGAUAGGAGCUCCUGCUGCAUGGUGGGGGCUGGAAAGUUUCGGCGGUUGGGGAUGGACUCGCGGCUUAUCAGCUUGUGGGUGGGGUAGUGGCUUACCAAGGCUUUGACGGGUAGCCGGCCUGGGCGGGUGACCGGCCACAUUGGGACUGAGAUACGGCCCAGACUCCUACGGGAGGCAGCAGUGGGGAAUAUUGCACAAUGGGCGGAAGCCUGAUGCAGCAACGCCGCGUGCGGGAUGACGGCCUUCGGGUUGUAAACCGCUUUCGCCUGUGACGAAGCGUGAGUGACGGUAAUGGGUAAAGAAGCACCGGCUAACUACGUG
RNAcentral lists this ribosomal RNA (468 nucleotides) under uncultured bacterium. RNAcentral's name for it is "partial 16S ribosomal RNA". It matches the Rfam family "Bacterial small subunit ribosomal RNA", at positions 28 to 507 of the family's 1533-position model. The record is from RNAcentral.